Molecule: ribosomal RNA, 253 nt
Filed under: uncultured bacterium
Lineage: Bacteria
Description: partial 16S ribosomal RNA
Rfam family: Bacterial small subunit ribosomal RNA
Source: RNAcentral
GACGAGCCACACGAACGUUAUUCGGAAUUACUGGGCUUAAAGGGUGCGUAGGCUGCGCGGAAAGUUGGGUGUGAAAUACCUCGGCUCAACCGAGGAACUGCGCCCAAAACUACCGUGCUCGAGGGAGAUAGAGGUGAGCGGAACUUACGGUGGAGCGGUGAAAUGCGUUGAUAUCGUAAGGAACACCCGUGGCGAAAGCGGCUCACUGGGUCUUCUCUGACGCUGAUGCACGAAAGCUAGGGGAGCAAACGGG